Long non-coding RNA from Salvelinus namaycush (lake trout), 1176 nucleotides. RefSeq lists it as uncharacterized. The transcript is spliced from 3 exons. The record is from RefSeq and is a predicted model, not a curated record. Lineage: Eukaryota; Metazoa; Chordata; Actinopteri; Salmoniformes; Salmonidae.
AGGAAGGAGGGAGGAGAGACAGAGAGAAGGUUUGUGUUUUUCUCUAUCACUGCAGCAUUCUGACAGAGCAGCAGAGCAGCCUAAACACGACUCUCAGCAGAUAGACAGAGAAGACACUGAAGACACAUUGGAUAGGAGAUAAAGAGAGGAAGACAGAAAGAGAGAGAGAAGAAAGGGAGAGAGAGAAGACAGCACCUCCAGAGUGACCGCGGACAGUGACAAGGAGACCGAGGGUAAAGAGAGGCUGCUGGACGAGACACGCACCAACAGAUACGCCAACAAACACAGACACGUGUGUCAGUCUGUUUUUGACGCGCACCAGAGGAUUCGAGGGGUUCCUGGGGUUCCUGUGUGUGUUUGAGGGGUUGAGGGUGUGUGUGUGUGGUGUGUGUGUUUGAGGGGUUGAGGGUGUGUGUGGUGUUGAUGGGACAGUAAGAGAUGUGUGUAUCUCAGUAUCAGAGGGGCAGUAGCCCCCCUGCCCUCCUCCUCCUCCCUCUGUUCCUCCUCUCCUCCUCUCAUCUACUCGCUCAUGGAGCCAUCCAGAUCCCCAAAAACUUGUUACAGCCUCCUAUUCUGACAAAGAUGCCUGAGUCCUUAACGGCCUUUUCAUUAGACGAUGUCAUGCUGCCCUGCGAGGCCACCGGCAUCCCCACACCCAGGUAUACCCUACUAUUACAAUACCAUGCUGCUCUGCAAGGGCCCCCCAAACCCAGGUAUACCCUACUAUAACAAUAUCAUGCUGCUCUGCAAGGCCCCCCCCCCCCACCCAGGUAUACCCUACUAUUAUAAUAUCAUGCUGCUCUGCAAGGCCCCCCCACACCCAGGUAUACCCUACUAUUACAAUACCAUGCUGCUCUGCAAGGCCCCCCCACACCCAGGUAUACCCUACUAUUAACAAUAUCAUGCUGCUCUGCAAGGCCCCCCCACACCCAGGUAUACCCUACUAUUACAAUAUCAUGCUGCUCUGCAAGGCCCCCCCCCCACCCAGGUAUACCCUACUAUUAACAAUAUCAUGCUGCUCUGCAAGGCCCCCCCACACCCAGGUAUACCCUACUAUUACAAUAUCAUGCUGCUCUGCAAGGCCCCCCCCCACCCAGGUAUACCCUACUAUUACAAUAUCAUGCUGCUCUGCAAGGCCCCCCCCCCACCCAGGUAUACCCUACUAUUACAAUAUCA